UUCUAUACCACAUUAUAGCCCUCAUAUACUACUUCUAUACCACAUUAUAGCCCUCAUAUACUACUUCUAUACCACAUUAUAGCCCUCAUAUACUACUUCUAUACCACAUUAUAGCCCUCAUAUACUACUUCUAUACCACAUUAUAGCUCUCAUAUACUACUUCUAUACCACAUUAUAGCCCUUCAUAUACUACUUCUUUACCACAUUAUAGCCCUCAUAUACUACUUCUAUACCACAUUAUAGCCCUCAUAUACUACUUCUAUACCACAUUAUAGCCCUCAUAUACUACUUCUAUACCACAUUAUAGCCCUUCAUAUACUACUUCUAUACUACAUUAUAGCCCUCAUAUAGUACUUCUAUACCACAUUAUAGCCCUCAUAUACUACUUCUUUACCACAUUAUAGCCCUCAUAUACUACUUCUAUACCAAAUUAUAGCCCUCAUAUACUACUUCUAUACCACAUUAUAGCCCUCAUAUACUACUUCUAUACCACAUAAUAGCCCUCAUAUACUACUUCUAUACCACAUUAUAGCCCCCAUAUACUACUUCUAUACCACAUUCUAGCCCUCAUAUACUACUUGUAUACCACAUUAUAGCCCUCAUAUACUACUUCUAUACCACAUUAUAGCCCUCAUAUACUGCUUCUAUACCACAUUAUAGCCCUCAUAUACUACUUCUAUACCACAUUAUAGCCCUCAUAUACUGCUUCUAUACCACAUUAUAGCCCUCAUAUACUACUUCUAUACCACAUUAUAGCCCUCAUAUACUACUUCUAUACCACAUUAUAGCCCUCAUAUAGUACUUCUAUACCACAUUAUAGCCCUCAUAUAGUACUUCUAUACCACAUUAUAGCUCUCAUAUAGUACUUCUAUACCACAUUAUAGCCCUCAUAUAGUACUUCUUUACCACAUUAUAGCCCUCAUAUACUACUUCUAUACCACAUUAUAGCUCUCAUAUACUACUUCUAUACCACAUUAUAGCCCUCAUAUAGUACUUCUAUACCACAUUAUAGCCCUCAUAUAGUACUUCUUUACCACAUUAUAGCCCUCAUAUACUACUUCUAUACCACAUUAUAGCUCUCAUAUACUACUUCUAUACCACAUUAUAGCCCUCAUAUAGUACUUCUAUACCACAUUAUAGCCCUCAUAUAGUACUUCUAUACCACAUUAUAGCCCUCAUAUACUACUUCUAUACCACAUUAUAGUCCUCAUAUACUACUUCUAUACCACAUUAUAGCCCUUCAUAUACUACUUCUAUACCACAUUAUAGCCCUCAUAUAGUACUUCUAUACCACAUUAUAGCCCUGAUAUACUGCUUCUAUACCACAUUAUAGCCCUGAUAUACUGCUUCUAUACCACAUUAUAGCCCUCAUAUAGUACUUCUAUACCACAUUAUAGCCCUCAUAUAGUACUUCUAUACCACAUUAUAGCCCUCAUAUACUACUUCUAUACCACAUUAUAGCCCUCAUAUAGUACUUCUAUACCACAUUAUAGCCCUCAUAUACUACUUCUAUACCACAUUAUAGCUCUCAUAUACUACUUCUUUACCACAUUAUAGCCCUCAUAUACUACUUCUAUACCACAUUAUAGCCCUCAUAUAGUACUUCUAUACCACAUUAUAGCCCUCAUAUAGUACUUCUAUACCACAUUAUAGCCCUCAUAUAGUACUUCUAUACCACAUUAUAGCCCUCAUAUACUACUUCUAUACCACAUUAUAGCCCUCAUAUACUACUUAUAUACCACAUUAUAGCCCUCAUAUACUACUUCUAUACCACAUUAUAGCCCUCAUAUACUACUUCUAUACCACAUUAUAGCCCUCAUAUAGUACUUCUAUACCACAUUAUAGCCCUCAUAUACUACUUCUAUACCACAUUAUAGCUCUCAUAUACUACUUCUUUACCACAUUAUAGCCCUCAUAUACUACUUCUAUACCACAUUAUAGCCCUCAUAUACUACUUCUAUACCACAUUAUAGCCCUCAUAUAGUACUUCUAUACCACAUUAUAGCUCUCAUAUACUACUUCUAUACCACAUUAUAGCCCUCAUAUACUACUUCUAUACCACAUUAUAGCCCUCAUAUACUACUUCUAUACCACAUUAUAGCCCUCAUACUCCGUAGCCCAAAAUCUCUUCACCAUUUACGUUCCCACUCCCUCUCUUUUUCUAUCUUUCUCUCUUUCUUUCUCACAAACAAACACAUACAGACAUGCUGAAAACAGUCCCUUCUUCCUCCCCACCCCCAGACCACCUGUGUGAGGGGAUUCAGUUGGCCAGAGUGCGUGCUUGCUCGCCUAUCUGGUAACUUAGCAACAUCCGCUCUGUUUGCUCAGUGUACGUGCGGAAAUGGGCUUCUCAGAGAGCACACUCACUCUAGAGACUAGAAAUAGUGUGUCUGUGUGUGUGUGUGUGUGUGUGUGUGUGUGUGUGUGUGUGUGUGUGUGUGUGUGUGUGUGUGUGUGUGUGUGUGUGUGUGUGUGUGUGUGUGUGUGUGUGUGUGUGACACAAAUGGGCUCUCAGUGCUACAUACACAUGGAGGAAGAAAAGGAACUACACACACAAAGACCCCAAACAAGUAAAACCCAAUUACCCAAUUACCUCUGAGACAGACAGCCGACCUUGUGAGAGAAGGAGAGAACGGGAGAGGAAGAGGCAGAGUGAGGCAGAAGAGAUAGAGAAUAGGGUAAAGAGAAACUCAUAGUGAGUGUGCUAUACAGAGAGAUGAUAUAGAGGAAGGUACUGGAGAGAGGUUUAGAAUGAUAGACAGAGAGAUGAUAUAGAGGAAGGUAAUGGAGAGAGGUUGAGAAUGAUAGACAGAGAGAUAUGAUAUAGAGGAAGGUACUGGAGAGAGGUUUAGAAUGAUAGACAGAGAGAUGUGGAUAUAGAGGAAGGUACUGGAGAGAGGUUUAGAAUGAUAGACAGAGAGAUGUGGAUAUAGGGGAAGGUACUGGAGAGAGGUUUAGAAUGAUGGACAGAGAGAUGUGGAUAUAGAGGAAGGUACUGGAGAGAGGUUUAGAAUGAUAGACAGAGAGAUGUGGAUAUAGAGGAAGGUACUGGAGAGAGGUUUAGAAUGAUAGACAGAGAGAUGUGGAUAUAGAGGAAGGUACUGGAGAGAGGUUUACAAUGAUAGACAGAGAGAUAUGAUAUAGAGGAAGGUACUGGAGAGAGGUUUAGAAUGAUAGACAGAGAGAUGUGGAUAUAGAGGAAGGUACUGGAGAGAGGUUUAGAAUGAUAGACAGAGAGAUGUGGAUAUAGAGGAAGGUACUGGAGAGAGGUUUAGAAUGAUAGACAGAGAGAUAUGAUAUAGAGGAAGGUACUGGAGAGAGGUUUAGAAUGAUAGACAGAGAGAUGUGGAUAUAGAGGAAGGUACUGGAGAGAGGUUUAGAAUGAUAGACAGAGAGAUGUGGAUAUAGAGGAAGGUACUGGACAGAGGUUUAGAAUGAUAGACAGAGAGAUAUGAUAUAGAGGAAGGUACUGGAGAGAGGUUUAGAAUGAUAGACAGAGAGAUGUGGAUAUAGAGGAAGGUACUGGAGAGAGGUUUAGAAUGAUAGACAGAGAGAUAUGAUAUAGAGGAAGGUACUGGAGAGAGGUUUAGAAUGAUAGACAGAGAGAUGUGGAUAUAGAGGAAGGUACUGGAGAGAGGUUUAGAAUGAUAGACAGAGAGAUAUGAUAUAGAGGAAGGUACUGGAGAGAGGUUUAGAAUGAUAGACAGAGAGAGAUGAUAUAGAGGAAGGUACUGGAGAGAGGUUUAGAAUGAUAGACAGAGAGAUGAUAUUGAGGAAGGUACUGGAGAGAGGUUUAGAAUGAUAGACAGAGAGAUGUGGCUAUAGAGGAAGGUACUGGAGAGAGGUUUAGAAUGACAGACAGAGAGAUGUGGAUAUAGAGGAAGGUACUGGAGAGAGGUUUAGAAUGAUAGACAGAGAGAUACGAUAUAGAGGAAGGUACUGGAGAGAGGUUUAGAAUGAUAGACAGAGAGAUGUGGAUAUAGAGGAAGGUACUGGAGAGAGGUUUAGAAUGAUAGACAGAGAGAUGUGGCUAUAGAGGAAGGUACUGGAGAGAGGUUUAGAAUGAUAGACAGAGAGAUGAUAUAGAGGAAGGUAAUGGAGAGAGGUUGAGAAUGAUAGACAGAGAGAUAUGAUAUAGAGGAAGGUACUGGAGAGAGGUUUAGAAUGAUAGACAGAGAGAUAUGAUAUAGAGGAAGGUACUGGAGAGAGGUUUAGAAUGAUAGACAGAGAGAUGGUAUAGAGGAAGGUACUGGAGAGAGGUUUAGAAUGAUAGACAGAGAGAGAUGAUAUAGAGGAAGGUACUGGAGAGAGGUUUAGAAUGAUAGACAGGGAGAUAUGAUAUAGAGGAAGGUACUGG
Oncorhynchus keta (chum salmon) is the source of this 4357-nucleotide long non-coding RNA. RefSeq lists it as uncharacterized. The record is from RefSeq and is a predicted model, not a curated record. The transcript has 4 exons. NCBI's taxonomy places the organism in Eukaryota, Metazoa, Chordata, Actinopteri, Salmoniformes, Salmonidae.